RNAcentral lists this ribosomal RNA (254 nucleotides) under uncultured bacterium. Its description in RNAcentral is "partial 16S ribosomal RNA". It matches the Rfam family "Bacterial small subunit ribosomal RNA", at positions 524 to 776 of the family's 1533-position model. The record is from RNAcentral.
UACGGGGGGGGCAAGCGUUGUUCGGAAUUACUGGGCGUAAAGGGCGCGUAGGCGGCCUACUAAGUCGGACGUGAAAUCCCUCGGCUCAACCGAGGAACUGCGUCCGAUACUGGCGAGGCUUGAAUUCGGGAGAGGGAUGUGGAAUUCCAGGUGUAGCGGUGAAAUGCGUAGAUAUCUGGAGGAACACCGAUGGCGAAGGCAGCCUUCUGGGCCAACACUGACGCUCAUGCACGAAAGCGUGGGGAGCAAACAGG